RNAcentral lists this ribosomal RNA (253 nucleotides) under uncultured bacterium. RNAcentral describes it as "partial 16S ribosomal RNA". It matches the Rfam family "Bacterial small subunit ribosomal RNA", at positions 524 to 776 of the family's 1533-position model. The record is from RNAcentral.
UACGAAGGGGGCUAGCGUUGCUCGGAAUCACUGGGCGUAAAGCGCACGUAGGCGGGUCCUUAAGUCCGGGGUGAAAUCCUGGAGCUCAACUCCAGAACUGCCUUUGAUACUGAUAGUCUUGAGUAUGGGAGAGGUGAGUGGAACUGCGAGUGUAGAGGUGAAAUUCGUAGAUAUUCGCAAGAACACCAGUGGCGAAGGCGGCUCACUGGCCCAUUACUGACGCUGAGGCACGAAAGCGUGGGGAGCAAACAGG